Long non-coding RNA from Corvus hawaiiensis (hawaiian crow), 287 nucleotides. RefSeq lists it as uncharacterized. The record is from RefSeq and is a predicted model, not a curated record. NCBI's taxonomy places the organism in Eukaryota, Metazoa, Chordata, Aves, Passeriformes, Corvidae. The transcript has 3 exons.
AUCUGUACCAACAUGUUAUUGCGCUAGAAUAUUUCAUCUCCCUAUGUUUCCAUUGAGAAGGCAAGGCAAGGAACUUCUUUUGCGCUGAAUAAAGAGAAGAAGGAAAGGAACUAGAUUCUCUACUGAAUAACAUAUUCCUGUCUGGGAGGAGAUGCAUGGCCACACUGGAAAUACGUUUCUGUAUGUAACUUGUGGGAGUGCAGGUAGCUCCAGCUACUCUUCCUCCUGAGAAGAACUCAAGACAACCAGCUGCUGUGGUUAGCAACCCAAGUUUAGCAUGUAACUUC